Small nucleolar RNA from Dasypus novemcinctus (nine-banded armadillo), 93 nucleotides. Its record names the gene SNORD116. It matches the Rfam family "Small nucleolar RNA SNORD116". From Rfam's summary of the family: HBII-85 is a member of the C/D class of snoRNAs, which contain the C (UGAUGA) and D (CUGA) box motifs. NCBI's taxonomy places the organism in Eukaryota, Metazoa, Chordata, Mammalia, Cingulata, Dasypodidae. The record is from Ensembl.
AGAUGGAUGAAUCUCCCCAAAUAUAUACUUUUUGGAAAAGCUGAUCUAAAUGAGUCAAAAUUCCUACUGUCUGCUCUCCUCGCAUGGAGCUCC